This is a long non-coding RNA of Peromyscus californicus insignis, 965 nucleotides long. RefSeq lists it as uncharacterized. The record is from RefSeq and is a predicted model, not a curated record. Lineage: Eukaryota; Metazoa; Chordata; Mammalia; Rodentia; Cricetidae. The transcript has 3 exons.
CACACACACACACACACACACACACACUGUGGCACAUGUGCAGGUGCAUACACAGACAGAUAAAAAUAAAUAAAUCAUUUAAAAAACCACAGUGAGAAAUUCUUCACUAGAAGGAAUCCAGAAUGUCCCACCCCUGUCCUUGCUGGUACUAUACUCUCAAGAGGACGCUUGGCUCUGAAGAUGCUUCUGAGACAGCACCCACCCCUCCCCAUGGAGAACCUCUUCUUUCUAGCAAAUAGCAGCAAGAACAAAUAUAGCUCCCAAUGAAGGCAGUGAGAACCAAUGAACGCACAAAAUCCAUUUAUUUACAUGGCAAUGUUAAGAUUAUAAUGAGGGCAAGAAAAACAUUCUGAAAUUUAUCAAUUCUUGUGACAACUUUGAGACGUCAGCAAGGAAAGUGGCAGCGUGUCUGAAACCAGCUCACUGUCCAACAGACAGUAACACCGCAAACUAGCACCUCGUUCAUCUCCCUGCUGACAACCCAGAGGCUGGAAUGAGAGCAGAAAAGGUUACACAAUUAACCCAUUCCUGUCAGAAAUAAUCCUGAGAGGGUAUCCUCAGAAUGACUUUUAAAAAUGACCCCACUAAGGCCUCUCUCUGGAGUCCUCUUUGUGGACCAAUGACCUCAAUGGUCUAUUUUCAGUCAUGUUGGAGGUCAGAGCAUUGCUGAAGGAGCAACUUCUCAAUAAAGAGUCCUGCAGUAGCUUGUUGGUGUAUCCUUUGGAGCAUCCUGAGUCAGCUGGUCAAAGCACAUGCCCUGCUUUAGAUCUGAACCCCACCCUGGAAGAGAAGGGACCAUAGUAUCUAUAUGCUGGUGCCGCUCCUGUCCUCAACUUCCUCCUUGAAGAUUUUCAGUCAGGGGGCAGUGCUGGUCUGAAGAAUGACCAGAAGAUGGUUCAUAUUUUUUUCCUGUAAGGAGGUGUACUGUCUUAGAAACUGUGGCACACAGCCUGUUGUCAUGUCUG